Long non-coding RNA from Rhea pennata, 3522 nucleotides. RefSeq lists it as uncharacterized. The transcript has 6 exons. The record is from RefSeq and is a predicted model, not a curated record. NCBI's taxonomy places the organism in Eukaryota, Metazoa, Chordata, Aves, Rheiformes, Rheidae.
AGGGCAAUCGUAGAGCAGAACUGGCAGCGAAGGAGAAGGCGCGAGCGCCGGGCGGGGUCAGGCGGACAUGGUCCGGCACUGGGCAGAGGAACGACGGGAAGCGGCGCCAGGCAGGAGAGGCGCACCGGGAUAGGGCGGGGGUAUACCUGCCCGCGCCGUCCGAGGGGGUGGCUAGCUUCGGGCCUGCUCUGUGGCUACAAACAGAGUCUCGCCGCGGGCAUCCGAACGGGGCAGGCGAGAAGAGGAAGAGCGAUAACAGUCUGGUACCGCCAAGCUGCUGCGGCAUCCAGGAAUCCAGAGACGAUGCCGUACACCAGCCGCAGCAUGCGGGUAUCAGCCGGCUCCGCCUGUUGCUGCGGCGUGGCCAGCUCGUACGCGCGCACCGUAGCUCUUCCAGCUCACAGCUGUGUCUGCGGGCGCACAAACUGCUUCUGCAGCCGGCUGACUCACGGCUGCCCUCGGUUGCCUGUACCGCGAUACCGUAGCCCGCUAGCUAACGCAUGCGCACUAAGGCGGCGCGUUGACUGCCGCCCUUCCCUGCUCGCAAGGGGCCGCACACGCAUGCCCAAUGCAGCGCAUGGUGUUUGUGUUUCCUGCUUAAAAAUGUUCAGAGGUUUUCCCGUUACGGUUUAUUGAUUAGAAUUUGUUGUUGAGGGUUUCUCAAUCGGGAAUUACUGUUUGUUAGUUUAUUUUCUGUGUCUCGGUAUUUAUCAGUGAGGGUUUACAGUUUGCUUAUUUGCUGAUUGGCUGUAGGAUUUAAAAUCCAAUCUCAUCCGUAAGUUUUAAAGCUCCAAUGAAUCGUGAGGUUCCAAGAUUUGCAGUUUAUCACUUCAGAUUCAGAGCUUAUGGCUUUCUGAUAAAUAGAAAGGUCUAAAUCCUUAAACAGUAAACUGUAAGCUACGAAUCAUAAAUGGUGGGCUGUGAAUCCCCCUUUCCCCUGUACUCCGAUGAGUGCAGGACUGUUACACCUAGACUGCCAAGGCGACAAGUGAGCUGAGAGCCACGAAGGUUUUGCACAGGGCUCUGGUCUGGGGCAGAGCAGAAGUGCAGACAAGUGAGAUCAGAGGUCUUACUCUCAAAUAUCAGAUUCCUGUCCCCGAAGGAAAGGUAGCUGACAGCUCCCCGGAGAUCUGCCACAUCAAGGGCAGUAGCAGGAUCCAACUUUUCUCCACUGGAUUGACCAAUGCUGGCAUGUUGACAACUCUUCAGGUGUCACAGGGUAAAGGGGAGUGUACUGGCACUGAGCCCUGUGGCAGACAGUUCCUGGUGUUUCUGUGCAGUAAUUAAACGGUUGUUUUAUUCUUUGCACUCAUGUCUGUGGUUCCUGCAGUCCCUUUGCACUCAGGAAGAAGGGCCUGAACGUGGUGCCCAGGGGAGGAGGUUACACACUGUGUCUUGGCUGGGAGCUGGUCCCCAAGUCUCUUGGACUUUGGGGUCCCUGUGCUUUCCAGGGAACCCAGUGCAGUUCACACAGCUGUGGGGAAUUUCCCUUGAAUAGUCUUGACCCUUGUGACUCUUGGGGGUAUUUCCCAUCAUCCUGGAGGCAGCCAGGGCCCCUCCAGGGCUGUGUGAGGUCCCCAGACUGCUCAAUGAUUUGCUUUCAGCAUUCCACGAUGUCCCUUGUGGGUCUGGGGCUUGCGUGCAUUGUGCUGGGAGAUAGUGUUUCUGUGGGGAUGGGGGGAGCCUGCAAGCAUAGUCCUGUUAGCUCCGUUGGCCCCUGUGACAUGUCUUACGGCAUCUUUGGUGUGCACUGGCACCUUUCAUUUGUAUUUUAGUUUGUCCUAGAGCCUUGCAUUUCCCUUUGAUGCCCCCAGGAUGCCUCAGUUAUCGUUUUGGGUUGCCCCCAAGCCCCUCGUGUGCCUUUUGGUGUGCCCCAGAGCCCUGCAUUUGCUUUGCAGCAUGUGACAAAAUUCUCUUUAGCUUUCUCCUCUGUCCCAGAGUUUUUUGGGUGCUUCUUGGUGUGUCCCAGGGCCCUCCCUUUGCCUUUUGGUGCCCCCAGAAUCAUUCUGUUUGCUCUAUCCUUGCUUUUUUUUUUUUUUUUUUUUUUAAAAAAAAACUUUUGUUGCACCCGCAGCUCUUGAUUUGUUCCCUUCUCCCUUGAAUGCUCCCUUUUAUUCUCUGUGUGCUCCAGGGCUCUGCCUUGAGCUGCUCUCAAGAGUGGGGGUGCCUCUGCUGCCCUGGCAGUCCCAGCUGUCCCUGAUGGGCUGCAGCUGUGAGCCCUGUGGCUGGGACAAGUCCCAGGCAGGGCCUGUUGGGUUGAUGGCAAGGGCAGGAAGCGGGCACAUGCUGGGACUAGGGUCUGUAUUUGGAAGAAGCUCGUGUCGGGGUCGGUCCAGGACAAUGGAGGUGCUGCCACACACUGCCUGCUGGAACUGGAACGUUGGCCACACCACAGAGGAGAGCUAGAACCAACAAUAGUAAAUGCUGACGGAGAGGAAAGCCGGACAAGCGGUCUUUUUGUGAUUAAUACCUGAGGGACGAAGUGAAUGAAACGAGGAAGCAAAAAUGCAGUAGACCCCUGAUAUCCCCAGCACCUGCUGCAGAAGGAGGUGUUCUGCCACGGGCAAGUGUGCAGAUAGACAGGGAAGGAUACAAUACUUACUCUUUCGGACGAAUUGCCAGGGCUGAAGUUGAAGAGACCAGAAAAACGUAAGCAAGCUGAGGUGCGAAAACCACGUGGAACCAGCCGAGAGCCGUCUCCGUCUCCCGCGAACGAAAGCCCGUCCUUCCUGACUAGGAAGGCUCACUGUUAGUAGCGAUCGAAAUAACGGAUCACAGACGUAUAACGAAGGCGUUCGUAACGUCGGGGAACGACUGCACGCUGCCGUGAAGAAUUACGGGCUACCGCCCUCGGACCUCUGCAAGUUAUCGCGUGUCAGGAGCGGCCGGUAGGAUCCAGAUGCCAGCGGAAAGGUUCUCCUCCCGGUCCCGACGAGGAGCCUUCGGCCGUAGGAAGGUCGGCCGCGUCCUUACCUGUGCUGAGCGUAGUCUGGCCGUCGAAAGAGCGUUGUCGUCGCCGGGAGCUCUCCGCGGAGAUCUGCGUCUGGCCGCCGAAGACGAGCGGAAGGCGAGCCCGGGCUUGCGGCGUGGACGCAGCUAAGUCCCGGGGCUGCGUUGCGUGUGAGCAGGGCUGGGACGUGGCAGUGGUUUUGCCCUUGGCGGUUACGGGCGUCACUGGCCGUGGAUGGUUGCCCGCGGAGCCGAGAGGAGCAAAACUAUCAACGGUCCGUGGGGGAGACGAAUUAGCGCUUGCGGCGUUUCAGAGCUGAAUCCUAUCCCCGAAGGAAAAAGCAGAAGGGGCAGGCCGUCGGCUACGCAGACGCCUGCCGCCUCGGGGGCUGCGGCGGGAGCUGACCCUUCCCCGACGGACGGGCGGACGGUCGGAGAGACGGACGCUGGCGUGGCGAUGACUCUUCAGGUGUCACAGGGUAAGGGGAAGCGUGCCGGCACCGAGCUCCGUGGCAGGCUCGCUCCCAGGUGGCGUUCCUGCCCAGUAAAACAAUAAACAGCCGCUUCAUUCUU